UCCUUCUGGGAAAGAUUCAUCGGUAUGGGAUGGGGUCGCGUCCUAUCAGCUUGAUGGCGGGGUAACGGCCCACCAUGGCUUCGACGGGUAGCCGGCCUGAGAGGGCGACCGGCCACAUUGGGACUGAGAUACGGCCCAGACUCCUACGGGAGGCAGCAGUGGGGAAUAUUGCACAAUGGGCGCAAGCCUGAUGCAGCGACGCCGCGUGCGGGAUGACGGCCUUCGGGUUGUAAACCGCUUUUGACUGGGAGCAAGCCCUUCGGGGUGAGUGUACCUUUCGAAUAAGCACCGGCUAACUACGUGCCAGCAGCCGCGGUAAUACGUAGGGUGCAAGCGUUAUCCGGAAUUAUUGGGCGUAAAGGGCUCGUAGGCGGUUCGUCGCGUCCGGUGUGAAAGUCCAUCGCUUAACGGUGG
RNAcentral lists this ribosomal RNA (414 nucleotides) under uncultured Bifidobacterium sp. Its description in RNAcentral is "bacterial SSU rRNA". It matches the Rfam family "Bacterial small subunit ribosomal RNA", at positions 193 to 618 of the family's 1533-position model. Lineage: Bacteria; Bacillati; Actinomycetota; Actinomycetes; Bifidobacteriales; Bifidobacteriaceae. The record is from RNAcentral.